AAGUGAGAAGCAAAUUUUGCAAUCAGUUUCGACCUGAUCAUAGAUAACCCAACCUUAUCCUCACUUU
This 67-nucleotide transfer RNA is filed under the name Procornitermes araujoi. RNAcentral's name for it is "tRNA-Arg". The record is from RNAcentral. Lineage: Eukaryota; Metazoa; Arthropoda; Insecta; Blattodea; Termitidae.